Molecule: ribosomal RNA, 252 nt
Filed under: uncultured bacterium
Lineage: Bacteria
Description: partial 16S ribosomal RNA
Rfam family: Bacterial small subunit ribosomal RNA
Source: RNAcentral
UACGUAGGGUGCGAGCGUUGUCCGGAAUUAUUGGGCGUAAAGAGCUUGUAGGCGGUUUGUCGCGUCUGCUGUGAAAAUCCGGGGCUCAACCCCGGACUUGCAGUGGGUACGGCAGACUAGAGUGUGGUAGGGGAGACUGGAAUUCCUGGUGUAGCGGUGAAAUGCGCAGAUAUCAGGAGGAACACCGAUGGCGAAGGCGGUCUCUGGGCCGACUACUGACGCUGAGGAGCGAAAGCGUGGGGAGCGAACAGG